AGAGUUUGAUCCUGGCUCAGAUUGAACGCUGGCGGCAUGCCUAACACAUGCAAGUCGAACGGCAGCACAGUGGUAGCAAUACCAUGGGUGGCGAGUGGCGGACGGGUGAGUAAUGCAUCGGGACCUACCUGAACGUGGGGGAUAACGUAGGGAAACUUACGCUAAUACCGCAUACGUCCUACGGGAGAAAGCGGGGGACCUUCGGGCCUCGCGCGGUCAGACGGACCGAUGUUCGAUUAGCUUGUUGGUGGGGUAAAGGCCUACCAAGGCGACGAUCAGUAGCUGGUCUGAGAGGAUGAUCCGCCACAUUGGGACUGAGACACGGCCCAAACUCCUACGGGAGGCAGCAGUGGGGAAUAUUGGACAAUGGGCGCAAGCCUGAUCCAGCAAUGCCGCGUGUGUGAAGAAGGCCUUCGGGUUGUAAAGCACUUUUAUCGGGAGCGAAAUACCAUUGGCUAAUAACCAGUGGGGCUGACGGUACCCGAGGAAUAAGCACCGGCUAACUUCGUGCCAGCAGCCGCGGUAAUACGAAGGGUGCAAGCGUUAAUCGGAAUUACUGGGCGUAAAGGGUGCGUAGGCGGUUUGUUAAGUCUGUCGUGAAAUCCCCGGGCUCAACCUGGGAAUGGCGAUGGAUACUGGCAAGCUAGAGUGUGUCAGAGGAUGGUGGAAUUUCCGGUGUAGCGGUGAAAUGCGUAGAGAUCGGAAGGAACAUCAGUGGCGAAGGCGGCCAUCUGGGACAACACUGACGCUGAAGCACGAAAGCGUGGGGAGCAAACAGGAUUAGAUACCCUGGUAGUCC
RNAcentral lists this ribosomal RNA (799 nucleotides) under uncultured bacterium. RNAcentral describes it as "bacterial SSU rRNA". It matches the Rfam family "Bacterial small subunit ribosomal RNA", at positions 8 to 796 of the family's 1533-position model. The record is from RNAcentral.